AAUUAAAGUCUUACUUAUCUUUUUUUUUUUAAAUUAUAUGGGAGAAAAAUCUUUAUGUUUAGUAUACUAAAGAAAAACUUUUAUUUGUUAUAGUAAAUUAGUACUGUUAAGGNAAUGGAUGAAAUAAUUAAAAAUUUAUUUUUAUAUAAGUAUGUUUAUUUUACAGUACCUUUUGUAUCAGGGUUAAUCAAUUAUAUUAAUUUAUUUUAAAAUCUCGAUUUCAGAAGAGCUAAUUUAUUAUUUUAUUUAUUGUGGAAUAACUAUUAAUAAUAUAAAUUAGGAAAGAAAUUUYAUUCGGUUUUGAAGGUAUCUAGUUUUUUAAGAAAUAAAUUUAAUUUAUUCUUACUAUUUAAUUAUUAUAUUAUAAUAUAAGUUAUAAAGUAAGUUAAAAAUUAUAGGGGAUAAGCUCUAUAUUUUUCUAUAAAUAUUUUAUUCAAUUAAUUUUUGUAGGGUUAAAAAUAUCCAUCAAUAGAAAGUAUGUUAUAAUUUAUAUUUAUUAUUGAUUAAUUUUAUUUUUUUUAGUAUCUUAUUAAAAUAUUAAAUUAAACUUUUUAUUUUAAGUAAUAAUGAUUAAAUUAGUAUAAAAUAUUGUUUAUUAUAUUAUUAUUUUUAUGAUAAAAUAAGGAACUCGGCAAAUAUAGUUCUCGCCUGUUUAUCAAAAACAUGUCCUUUUGAAUUUAAUGGAAGGUCUGACCUGCCCAGUGAUGAAUYUAACGGCCGCGGUAUACUGACCGUGCAAAGGUAGCAUAAUCAUUAGUCUUUUAAUAGAGGGCUGGAAUGAAAGGUUUAACGAGGAACUAGCUGYCUCAUUUUAUUUGUUWUAAAAUUKAAUUUUUUAKUCAWAAAGCUAARAUUUUAUUGGAAGACGAGAAGACCCUAUAGAUCUUUACAUAAAUUUAUUUAAAUGGUUUUAUAUUAUUAUUUUAUAUUAAUUUGUGUUUUGGUUGGGGUGACAAAAAUAUAAAUAUAACUUUUUUAUUUAUUUAACAUUGAUUUAUGAAUAUUAGAUCCAUUAUUAUUGAUUAUUAGACUAAGUUACCUUAGGGAUAACAGCGUAAUCCUCCUCCAGAGUUCAUAUUUACAGGAUGGGCUUGCGACCUCGAUGUUGGAUUAAGAUAAUAUUUAGGGGAACGCC
This 1135-nucleotide ribosomal RNA is filed under the name Ladona depressa. Its description in RNAcentral is "partial 16S ribosomal RNA". Lineage: Eukaryota; Metazoa; Arthropoda; Insecta; Odonata; Libellulidae. The record is from RNAcentral.